Long non-coding RNA from Crotalus tigris (Tiger rattlesnake), 945 nucleotides. RefSeq lists it as uncharacterized. The transcript has 3 exons. The record is from RefSeq and is a predicted model, not a curated record. Lineage: Eukaryota; Metazoa; Chordata; Lepidosauria; Squamata; Viperidae.
AGUAAAUACCUUCAAAGGUUCAUUUCCCUGAAACUGUAGAAAGGACAAAAUCUCUCCAUAUGGAUUUUGAGAGCAUUUGUGAGGGUGACAAGCAACUGGGAUCUGGAUGCCAUCUUCUGUAAUCCAGGAAUCAUGAACCUAUGGCUUUCUAAAUGUUGCUCAACUUACUGGAGUUGAGAGAUCUCCCACCAUUGUCCAUGAUGUCUAAGGCUGAUUACAGUGGAAUUCCAGCUGUUGACAGCGGCAAAAUGUUCUUUCUUUGCAACCUCAAGGGAGAGGCUCUGGGGCCCAGCCAGGAGGCUAUAGAAUGAAUUCUCGGCAUAACAGGUUAUAUAACCGGCUCUUUUGAAAAAGGGGAAGCGAGCAGCAGCAGCGGCAACAACAACGCCCCAUUGUAUCUACAAAGACCAACAAUUCCAGCAAGCCACCCAGAUGCAGACUGCCCUUUGCCUUGGGUUUUAUUUACUUCUCACUGGCUGGAUAGAAACGGCUGGGCUGUUUUCUGUUUGCGGGCUCUCCCCCUUGGCAGUCGGUCGGGCUUGCCUUAACAGCGCCUUGUUAAACGGAGCCUGGCGUCCUCAGUCAGAGGGAGGGGAGAUGAUUUAUUCUUACUGAGCGAGGAUUGUCUUUCCCGGCUGUUGGCUGGCGUUGUUUCUUUUCUGUGCGGUGGCUCUAAAGGCAUCAGCUUGUGCCAACUGCAUUCCAAGAAGGGAAAGGAAGCAAAAGGCCAGGCUGAGCACAAGGAAACAUGCUCGAACUGUAAGAGGAGAAAGGAAGAGGCGAGGCCCCUGGGGAAAAUGCAAAGUAAAAUCUCCUUUCUCUGCUACCUCCUUGUUUACAUUAGGUGAUUUAUGUUGGGUACUUUCUAAAAAAAGAACGCUACGUUUUCAGCCUGUGCAUUGUUGGAAUGAAAUGGAGCAAUGGGGGGGGGGGGGCAGAGAAAUC